RNAcentral lists this ribosomal RNA (460 nucleotides) under uncultured bacterium. Its description in RNAcentral is "partial 16S ribosomal RNA". It matches the Rfam family "Bacterial small subunit ribosomal RNA", at positions 338 to 795 of the family's 1533-position model. The record is from RNAcentral.
CCUACGGGUGGCAGCAGUGAGGAAUAUUGGUCAAUGGGCUUACGCCUGAACCAGCCAAGUCGCGUGAGGGAAGACUGCCCUAUGGGUUGUAAACCUCUUUUGUCAGGGAGCAAUUGGCGCUACGUGUAGCGUUAUCGAGAGUACCUGAAGAAAAAGCAUCGGCUAACUCCGUGCCAGCAGCCGCGGUAAUACGGAGGAUGCGAGCGUUAUCCGGAUUUAUUGGGUUUAAGGGGGCGUAGGUGGAUUGUUAAGUUAGUUGUGAAAGGUUGCGGCUCAACCGUAAAAUUGCAGUUGAAACUGGCAGUCUUGAGAACAGUAGAGGUAGGCGGAAUUCGUGGUGUAGCGGUGAAAUGCUUAGAUAUCACGAAGAACUCCGAUUGCGAAGGCAGCUUACUGGACUGCAACUGACACUGAGGCUCGAAAGUGUGGGUAUCAAACAGGAUUAGAUACCCUUGUAGUC